AUUGAACGCUGGCGGCAUGCUUUACACAUGCAAGUCGAACGGCAGGGCGGGCUUCGGCCUGGCGGCGAGGGGCGAACGGGUGAGUAAUGCAUGUGAACGGGCCCAGUAGUGGGGGAUAGCCCGGGGAAAGGCGGAUUAAUACCGCAAACGACCUUAGGGUGAAAGCGGGGGAUGGAAAGGUCCGGCGGUAUUGGAUGGGCCCGUGGCGGAUGAGCUAGUUGGUGGGGUAAAGGCUUACCAAGGCGUCGAUGCGUAGCUGGUCUGAGGGGACGACCCGCCACACUGGGACUGAGAGACGGCCUAGACUCCUACGGGAGGCCCCAGUGGCGAAUUUUGGACACUGGGGGCAACCCUGAUCCAGCGAUGGAGCGUGGAUGAAGAAGGCCUUCGGGUUGUAAAACGCUUUUGUUGGGGAAGAACGCCUCUAGGCUAAUACCCCGGGGUGGUGACGGUACCGGCAGAAUAAGCACCGGCUAACUACGUG
RNAcentral lists this ribosomal RNA (484 nucleotides) under uncultured bacterium. Its description in RNAcentral is "partial 16S ribosomal RNA". It matches the Rfam family "Bacterial small subunit ribosomal RNA", at positions 28 to 507 of the family's 1533-position model. The record is from RNAcentral.